Molecule: ribosomal RNA, 451 nt
Filed under: uncultured bacterium
Lineage: Bacteria
Description: partial 16S ribosomal RNA
Rfam family: Bacterial small subunit ribosomal RNA
Source: RNAcentral
AACGAACGCUGGCGGCAGGCCUAAUACAUGCAAGUCGAACGGAUGUAGCAAUACAUUAGUGGCGCACGGGUGCCUAACGCGUGGGAACAUACCCUUGAGUAAGGAAUAAUGUCUGGAAACGGACACUAAUACCUUAUAAUGACUUCGGUCCAAAGAUUUAUCGCUUAAGGAUUGGCCCGCGUCUGAUUAGCUAGUUGGUGAGGUAACGGCUCACCAAGGCGACGAUCAGUAGCUGGUCUGAGAGGAUGAUCAGCCACACUGGGACUGAGACACGGCCCAGACUCCUACGGGAGGCAGCAGUAAGGAAUAUUGGACAAUGGGGGAACCCCUGAUCCAGCCAUGCCGCGUGAGUGAAGAAGGCCUUAGGGUUGUAAAGCUCUUUCAAUAGUGAAGAUAAUGACGGUAGCUAUAGAAGAAGCCCCGGCUAAAUUCGUGCCAGCCGCCGCGGUAA